Molecule: ribosomal RNA, 507 nt
Filed under: uncultured Actinomycetes bacterium
Lineage: Bacteria; Bacillati; Actinomycetota; Actinomycetes
Description: bacterial SSU rRNA
Rfam family: Bacterial small subunit ribosomal RNA
Source: RNAcentral
UGGGGAAUAUUGGACAAUGGGCGAAAGCCUGAUCCAGCAACGCCGCGUGAGGGAUGACGGCCUUCGGGUUGUAAACCUCUUUCAGCAGGGACGAAGCGCAAGUGACGGUACCUGCAGAAGAAGCACCGGCCAACUACGUGCCAGCAGCCGCGGUAAUACGUAGGGUGCGAGCGUUGUCCGGAAUUAUUGGGCGUAAAGGGCUCGUAGGCGGUUUGUCACGUCGGGAGUGAAAACUCGGGCUUAACCCCGAGCCUGCUUCCGAUACGGGCUGACUAGAGGUAUGCAGGGGGGAGAACGGAAUUCCUGGUGUAGCGGUGAAAUGCGCAGAUAUCAGGAGGAACACCGGUGGCGAAGGCGGUUCUCUGGGCAUUACCUGACGCUGAGGAGCGAAAGUGUGGGGAGCGAACAGGAUUAGAUACCCUGGUAGUCCACACCGUAAACGUUGGGCGCUAGGUGUGGGACUCAUUCCACGAGUUCCGUGCCGCAGCUAACGCAUUAAGCGCCCCG